CCUACGGGAGGCAGCAGUGGGGAAUAUUGGGCAAUGGGCGCAAGCCUGACCCAGCAAUGCCGCGUGAAGGAAGAAGGCUUUCGGGUUGUAAACUUCUUUGACAGGGGAAGAGCAGAAGACGGUACCCUGAAAACAAGCCACGGCUAACUACGUGACAGCAGCCGCGGUAAUGCGUAGGUGGCAAGCGUUGUCCGGAUUUACUGGGUGUAAAGGGCGUGUAGCCGGGAGGGCAAGUCAGAAGUGAAAGCUGGAGGCUCAACCUCCAAAUUGCAUUUGAAACUGUUUUUCUGGAGUACUGGAGAGGCAGACGGAAUUCCUUGUGUAGCGGUGAAAUGCGUAGAUAUAAGGAGGAACACCAGUGGCGAAGGCGGUCUGCUGGACAGCAACUGACGGUGAGGCGCGAAAGCGUGGGGAGCAAACAGGAUUAGAUACCCUUGUAGUC
This 442-nucleotide ribosomal RNA is filed under the name uncultured bacterium. RNAcentral's name for it is "partial 16S ribosomal RNA". It matches the Rfam family "Bacterial small subunit ribosomal RNA", at positions 338 to 795 of the family's 1533-position model. The record is from RNAcentral.